GGUCAGCAAGAAUAUAAAUGAUAUGCAUUUCAAAAUGAAGCAUCACGUAGCUAUAUACACACCGUUAAAAAUCAGCAUUCCGAAAUAUUUGCUUCACAUCAUUAAAUGCGUCUGUAUAAAGACUCUAUAAAGAUCCAAUCUUGUGUAAUUUGUAUGCCAUUGUCGUCGGAAUGUUUAACACUGCCAGUUUUUAGCCAACGAGUUAUCAAAAUACGCGAAAUAGCGCGAAAAUACAGACAUAUAUACAUACACUAUGACAUUCUAUUCUUCUAUGGCCAUGCUAAUCUUGUUACACGGUUAAAUUUCACUCUAAACACGUUAAUUCAUGGCUUUUGAAAAGGCCCUCAAAGCACAAUACAAUGUAUUUACAAAUUUGUUAACCAUGUAAACGUUUU
Molecule: non-coding RNA, 395 nt
Organism: Paramuricea clavata
Lineage: Eukaryota; Metazoa; Cnidaria; Anthozoa; Malacalcyonacea; Plexauridae
Source: the annotation of a GenBank genome assembly